This is a long non-coding RNA of Podarcis raffonei (Aeolian wall lizard), 461 nucleotides long. RefSeq lists it as uncharacterized. The record is from RefSeq and is a predicted model, not a curated record. The transcript has 3 exons. Lineage: Eukaryota; Metazoa; Chordata; Lepidosauria; Squamata; Lacertidae.
UGAAGCCACUUCCCCUGUGAUCAGAGAGCCGAAUGGGCCGCCCUCAGCUUCCACGAAGCCAGCGCCUCGUCGCUCUUUGGGCAAUGGCUGGGUGAGGCGUUUCAGUGCAUCGACUUUCUCUCUGACACACCCGCGCUUGACGCUCUAUAAUACGCAGCUCCGCCCACACUACGAGUCUGAACGUCGUUAUCUUGGAAGAAGCAAGAACUUGGGGAAACAGUGGAAGUUCUUUACUGCUGUUUUGAGGGCAGUUUUGACCUGAACGAGAGUGAAUCAACUGAAGUUUAAUCCAGACAAGACAAGUACUGCUAAAUGGAAGAUAUGCUGAUCUGGAUAUAUGUGCGCAACCUGUAUUGAUGGGGUUGCAUGUCUCCUGAAACAAAAUACCUGAUUUAAAAGAAGUACCAUGAACAUCAUGAACAUACUUCUUCAAGGAGAAUAUCACGACUGCCCAUGUGGAU